Molecule: ribosomal RNA, 254 nt
Filed under: uncultured bacterium
Lineage: Bacteria
Description: partial 16S ribosomal RNA
Rfam family: Bacterial small subunit ribosomal RNA
Source: RNAcentral
UACGGGGGGAGCAAGCGUGGUUCGGAUUUACUGGGCGUAAAGGGCGCGUAGGCGGUCAGCACAAGUCAGUUGUGAAAUCUCCGGGCUUAACUCGGAAAGGUCAACUGAUACUGUGCGACUAGAGUGCGGAAGGGGCAACUGGAAUUCUCGGUGUAGCGGUGAAAUGCGUAGAUAUCGAGAGGAACACCUGCGGCGAAGGCGGGUUGCUGUGCCGACACUGACGCUGAUGCGCGAAAGCCAGGGGAGCGAACGGG